This 491-nucleotide ribosomal RNA is filed under the name uncultured bacterium. RNAcentral describes it as "partial 16S ribosomal RNA". It matches the Rfam family "Bacterial small subunit ribosomal RNA", at positions 29 to 506 of the family's 1533-position model. The record is from RNAcentral.
AGUGAACGCUGGCGGUAGGCCUAACACAUGCAAGUCGAACGGCGGCACAGUAAGAGCUUGCUCUUACGGGUGGCGAGUGGCGGACGGGUGAGGAAUACAUCGGAAUCUACUUUUUCGUGGGGGAUAACGUAGGGAAACUUACGCUAAUACCGCAUACGACCUACGGGUGAAAGCAGGGGAUCUUCGGACCUUGCGCGAUUGAAUGAGCCGAUGUCGGAUUAGCUAGUUGGCGGGGUAAAGGCCCACCAAGGCGACGAUCCGUAGCUGGUCUGAGAGGAUGAUCAGCCACACUGGAACUGAGACACGGACCAGACUCCUACGGGAGGCAGCAGUGGGGAAUAUUGGACAAUGGGCGCAAGCCUGAUCCAGCCAUACCGCGUGGGUGAAGAAGGCCUUCGGGUUGUAAAGCCCUUUUGUUGGGAAAGAAAAGCAGCAGGUUAAUACCCCGCUGUUCUGACGGUACCCAAAGAAUAAGCACCGGCUAACUUCGU